This 539-nucleotide ribosomal RNA is filed under the name Trigonopterus sp. 895 AR-2022a. RNAcentral describes it as "partial large subunit ribosomal RNA". The record is from RNAcentral. Lineage: Eukaryota; Metazoa; Arthropoda; Insecta; Coleoptera; Curculionidae.
GGCUUGUUGAUUAUAAUUUCAAGUCUGACCUGCCCAAUGUUUAAUGUUUAAAUGGCCGCGGUAUUUUGACCGUGCAAAGGUAGCAUAAUCAUUAGUUUUUUAAUUGAAAGCUUGUAUGAAAGGUUUGAUGAGAAAAUUUCUGUCUCUGGAAAAAUUUGUUAGAAUUUUAUUUUUAAGUCAAAAAGCUUAAAUUUAUAUAGAAGACGAGAAGACCCUAUAGAGUUUUAUAUCGAGUAAAAAUUAUAUUUAAAGGAUUAUAAGAGUUUAAUUUUUGUGAGGAUAUUUUGUUGGGGUGAUAAAAAAAUUUAUUAAACUUUUUUUUUACAGAAACAUUUAUUUAUGGUUAAAUGAUCUUGAAAUUUAAAUUAUAAGAUUAAAUUACCUUAGGGAUAACAGCGUAAUCUUUUUUAGAGUUCUUAUCGAAUAAAAGGAUUGCGACCUCGAUGUUGGAUUAAAAUUAAUAGUUGGUGUAGAAGCUUUUUUAUUAGGUCUGUUCGACCUUUAAAAUUUUACAUGAUCUGAGYUUAAACCGGUGUGAG